RNAcentral lists this ribosomal RNA (620 nucleotides) under Haliclona toxotes. RNAcentral describes it as "LSU rRNA". It matches the Rfam family "Eukaryotic large subunit ribosomal RNA", at positions 681 to 1248 of the family's 3401-position model. Lineage: Eukaryota; Metazoa; Porifera; Demospongiae; Haplosclerida; Chalinidae. The record is from RNAcentral.
GAUGCGCAAGUCGGAAGGGUUGUGUCAGGGCCUCGGUCCUGCCUGAGAGACCCAUGUGUUUGGAACGGGCGAAGUGAGAGCAAUUUCGUGGGUGCGAGAGCCUUGGGGAGACCCGAGGCGCAUCGCUGGCCGAGCCGUAUGGUCACGCUGUGGCCGGUUUCGAGUGCGAGCGUAUCUGUUGCGACCCGAAAGAUGGUGAACUAUGCCUGAGGAGGGUGAAGCCAGAGGAAACUCUGGUGGAGGCCCGUAGCGGUUCUGACGUGCAAAUCGAUCGUCGCACUUGGGUAUAGGGGCGAAAGACUAAUCGAACCAUCUAGUAGCUGGUUCCCUCCGAAGUUUCCCUCAGGAUAGCUGGAGUUGUUGAGCAGUUUCGUCGGGUAAAGCGAAUGAUUAGAGGUAUCGGGGUUGAAAGGGCCUCGCCCUAUUCUCAAACUUUAAAUCGGCGAGAAGGGUUGUCUUGCCUGCCGGAAGGCAUCCCUUGAAUGCAGGGGCUCCAAGUGGGCCGUUUUUGGUAAGCAGAACCGGCGAUGCGGGAUGAACCGAACGUUGGGCUAUGGCGCCGGAGUCGACGCURAGCAGAUACCAMGGAAAGGUGUUGGUUGAUCUAGACAGCAGGACGG